UACGUAGGUCGCAAGCGUUAUCCGGAAUUAUUGGGCGUAAAGGGAGCGUAGGCGGUUUGAUAAGUCUGAUGUGAAAGCCAACGGCUCAACCGUUGAAUUGCAUUGGAAACUGUCAAACUAGAAUAUCGGAGAGGAAACUGGAAUUCCAUGUGUAGCGGUGGAAUGCGUAGAUAUAUGGAGGAACACCAAUAGCGAAGGCAGGUUUCUGGACGAUCAUUGACGCUGAGGCUCGAAAGCGUGGGUAGCAAACAGG
This 253-nucleotide ribosomal RNA is filed under the name uncultured bacterium. RNAcentral describes it as "partial 16S ribosomal RNA". It matches the Rfam family "Bacterial small subunit ribosomal RNA", at positions 524 to 776 of the family's 1533-position model. The record is from RNAcentral.